ACGAAGGGGGCGAGCGUUAUUCGGAAUCACUGGGCGUAAAGCGUGCGUAGGCUGUUUUGUAAGUCAGAAGUGAAAGCCCAGGGCUCAACCUUGGAAUUGCUUUUGAAACUACAAGACUUGAAUUCGGGAGAGGAUAGCGGAAUUGUCAGUGUAGCAGUGAAAUGCGUAGAUAUUGACAGGAACACCAGUGGCGUAAGCGGCUAUCUGGACCGACAUUGACGCUGAGGCACGAAAGCGUGGGGAGCAAACAGG
This 252-nucleotide ribosomal RNA is filed under the name uncultured bacterium. Its description in RNAcentral is "partial 16S ribosomal RNA". It matches the Rfam family "Bacterial small subunit ribosomal RNA", at positions 525 to 776 of the family's 1533-position model. The record is from RNAcentral.